This 500-nucleotide ribosomal RNA is filed under the name uncultured diatom. RNAcentral's name for it is "SSU rRNA". It matches the Rfam family "Eukaryotic small subunit ribosomal RNA", at positions 1277 to 1799 of the family's 1831-position model. The record is from RNAcentral. Lineage: Eukaryota; Bacillariophyta.
GUGGUGCAUGGCCGUUCUUAGUUGGUGGAGUGAUUUGUCUGGUUAAUUCCGUUAACGAACGAGACCCCUGCCUGCUAAAUAGUUGGGUGAAUGACUCGUUCAUUGACUACAGCUUCUUAGAGGGACGUUCAUCUCUUAAGAUGAAGGAGGAUAGGGGCAAUAACAGGUCUGUGAUGCCCUUAGAUGUCCUGGGCCGCACGCGCGCUACACUGAUGCAUUCAACGAGUUUGUUCCUUGGCCGAGAGGCCUGGGGAAUCUUGUUAACGUGCAUCGUGAUAGGGAUAGAUUAUUGCAAUUAUUAAUCUUGAACGAGGAAUUCCUAGUAAACGCAGAUCAUCAAUCUGCAUUGAUUACGUCCCUGCCCUUUGUACACACCGCCCGUCGCACCUACCGAUUGAAUGGUCCGGUGAAGCCUCGGGAUUGUGACUGUUCUGCUUUAUUGUGGUCGGUUGCGAGAACUUGUCUAAACCUUAUCAUUAGAGGAAGUGAGUCGAGCAUCG